RNAcentral lists this long non-coding RNA (284 nucleotides) under Homo sapiens (human). RNAcentral's name for it is "non-protein coding PAX8-AS1:35". The record is from RNAcentral. Lineage: Eukaryota; Metazoa; Chordata; Mammalia; Primates; Hominidae.
AAUAUUCCAAAUGCCAGGCUGGAUUCCCUCCAAUUACCAGGACCUCCAGGCUUCUCCUCCUUUCAAGAACUUUCUGACCCUGGAUCCAGUCUAAAUGUUGGUUAUAAACUCACCUGACAUCCACAGGGCCCUUCCAAAAUACUGUCAAGGCUGACUGCUGGUGCCUGGAACCUGCACACCCUCCUGGGACUCUGCAUCUCUGCUGGGGCUGGUUUCUCCUCUGAGCCACCUUAAGGAAUCCCACCCUGACCCGGAAAUACUACGACAAUGGGACUUUGGGAAUG